GUAGUAAUAGUAGUAAUAGAAGUAACUCUUCUAGUAUGUGAAGGUAGUAGUAGUAGUAGUAACUCUUCUAGAAUGUGAAGGUGGUAGUUGUAGUAACUCUUCUAGAAUGUGAAGGUGGUAGUAGUAGUAACUCUUCUAGAAUGUGAAGGUGGUAGUAGUAGCAACUCUUCUAGUGUGUGAAGGUAGUAGUAGUAGUAGUAGUAACUUCCAGAAUGUGAAAGUAGUAGUAGUAACUCUUCUAGAAUGUGAAGGUAGUAGUAGUAGUAGUAGUAGUAGUAGUAGUAGUAACUCUUCUAGAAUGUGAAGGUAGUAGUAGUAGUAGUAGUAGUAACUCUUCUAGUAUGUGAAGGUAGUAGUAGUAAUAGUAGCAACUCUUCUAGUAUGUGAAGGUAGUAGUAGUAAUAGUAGCAACUCUUCUAGUAUGUGAAGGUAGUAGUAGUAACUAUUCUAGUAGGUAGCAGUAGUAGUAGUAGUAGUAGUAACUAUUCUAGUAGGUAGCAGUAGUAGUAGUAGUAGUAGUAGUAACUCUUCUAGUAUGUGAAGGUAGUAGUAGUAGUAGUAGUAACUAUUCUAGAAUGUGAAGGUAGUAGUAGUAGUAGUAGUAGUAGUAGUAGUAGUAACUCUUCUAGAAUGUGAAGGUAGUAGUAGUAGUAGUAGUAGUAACUCUUCUAGUAUGUGAAGGUAGUAGUAGUAAUAGUAGCAACUCUUCUAGUAUGUGAAGGUAGUAGUAGUAGUAACUCUUCUAGUAUGUGAAGGUGGUAGUAGUAGUAACUCUUCUAGAAUGUGAAGGUGGUAGUAGAAGUAACUCUUCUAGUAUGUGGAGGUAGUAGUAGUAAUAGUAGUAACUAUUCUAGUAUGUGAAGGUAGUAGUAGUAGUAACUCUAGUGUGUGAAGGUAGUAGUAGUAGUAGUAGUAGUAGUAGUAGUAACUUCCAGAAUGUGAAGGUAGUAGUAGUAACUCUUCUAGAAUGUGAAGGUAGUAGUAGUAGUAACUCUUCUAGUAUGUGAAGGUAGUAGUAGUAGUAGUAGUAGUAACUCUUCUAGAAUGUUACGGCAGUAGUAGUAGUAGUAACUAUUCUAGUAGGUAGCAGCAGUAGUAGUAGUAGUAGUAGUAGUAACUCUUCUAGUAUGUGAAGGUAGUUGUAAUAGUAGUAGUAGUAGUGUACCCCAUGGUUCCUAGUCCAAAGUAGUGUACCCUAUGGUUCCUAGUCCAAAGUAGUGUACCCUAUGGUUCCUAGUCCAAAGUAGUGUACCCUAUGGUUCCUAGUCCAAAGUAGUGUACCCUAUGGUUCCUAGUCCAAAGUAGUGUACCCUAUGGUUCCUAGUCCAAAGUAGUGUACCCUAUGGUUCCUAGUCCAAAGUAGUGUACCCUAUGGUUCCUAGUCCAAAGUAGUGUACCCUAUGGUUCCUAGUCCAAAGUAGUGUACCCUAUGGUUCCUAGUUCAAAGUAGUGUACCCUAUGGUUCCUAGUCCAAAGUAGUGUACCCUAUGGUUCCUAGUCCAAAGUAGUGUACCCUAUGGUUCCUAGUCCAAAGUAGUGUACCCUAUGGUUCCUAGUCCAAAGUAGUGUACCCUAUGGUU
Molecule: long non-coding RNA, 1580 nt
Organism: Oncorhynchus keta (chum salmon)
Lineage: Eukaryota; Metazoa; Chordata; Actinopteri; Salmoniformes; Salmonidae
Exons: 3
Source: RefSeq, a predicted model, not a curated record